AGAGUUUGAUCAUGGCUCAGAUUGAACGCUGGCGGUAUGCCUUACACAUGCAAGUCGAACGGUAGAGGGGCAACCCUUGAGAGUGGCGAACGGGUGAGUAAUACAUCGGAACGUGCCCAGUCGUGGGGGAUAACGUAGCGAAAGCUACGCUAAUACCGCAUACGACCCGAGGGUGAAAGCGGGGGACUCGCAAGAGCCUCGCGCGAUUGGAGCGGCCGAUGGCAGAUUAGGUAGUUGGUGGGGUAAAGGCCCACCAAGCCUGCGAUCUGUAGCUGGUCUGAGAGGACGACCAGCCACACUGGGACUGAGACACGGCCCAGACUCCUACGGGAGGCAGCAGUGGGGAAUUUUGGACAAUGGGCGAAAGCCUGAUCCAGCCAUACCGCGUGCGGGAAGAAGGCCUUCGGGUUGUAAACCGCUUUUGUCAGGGAAGAAAUCCUUUGGGUUAAUACCUCGGAGGGAUGACGGUACCGAAGAAUAGCC
This 483-nucleotide ribosomal RNA is filed under the name uncultured Leptothrix sp. RNAcentral's name for it is "bacterial SSU rRNA". It matches the Rfam family "Bacterial small subunit ribosomal RNA", at positions 8 to 492 of the family's 1533-position model. Lineage: Bacteria; Pseudomonadati; Pseudomonadota; Betaproteobacteria; Burkholderiales; Sphaerotilaceae. The record is from RNAcentral.